Molecule: non-coding RNA, 256 nt
Organism: Pelobates cultripes (western spadefoot toad)
Lineage: Eukaryota; Metazoa; Chordata; Amphibia; Anura; Pelobatidae
Source: the annotation of a GenBank genome assembly
UGCAUUGAUAACACAGGGACAUAUGAUAAAGCAGUGAUUUUGUAUCUAGAUUGCUUUUUAGACAAAAAGCUUUGCACGAUUUUUAAUUUUUAAUUAUGUUUCUAUCAUUAAUUUAAAUAUUUGUGAGACGACAAGCUUUAGAUUGUAUAAUAUUUCUUAACUUGCAAUAUUUCCCCAUGCUCUUGUACAUUAGUAUAAAAGGAAAAUAUUUUUUUUUUCUCACAUACAAUAGUUACAAAAAUAGGUAAAUAAAAAC